RNAcentral lists this ribosomal RNA (484 nucleotides) under uncultured bacterium. Its description in RNAcentral is "bacterial SSU rRNA". It matches the Rfam family "Bacterial small subunit ribosomal RNA", at positions 1 to 501 of the family's 1533-position model. The record is from RNAcentral.
CCCUUAGAGUUUGAUCCUGGCUCAGGACGAACGCUGGCGGCGCGCCUAACACAUGCAAGUCGAACGAGCGAGAGAGAGCUUGCUUUCUCGAGCGAGUGGCGAACGGGUGAGUAACGCGUGAGGAACCUGCCUCAAAGAGGGGGACAACAGUUGGAAACGACUGCUAAUACCGCAUAAGCCCACGGCUCGGCAUCGAGCAGAGGGAAAAGGAGCAAUCCGCUUUGAGAUGGCCUCGCGUCCGAUUAGCUAGUUGGUGAGGUAACGGCCCACCAAGGCGACGAUCGGUAGCCGGACUGAGAGGUUGAACGGCCACAUUGGGACUGAGACACGGCCCAGACUCCUACGGGAGGCAGCAGUGGGGAAUAUGGCACAAUGGGGGAAACCCUGAUGCAGCGACGCCGCGUGGAGGAAGAAGGUCUUCGGAUUGUAAACUCCUGUUGUUGGGGAAGAUAAAACGGUACCCAACAAGGAAGUGACGGCUACU